Molecule: ribosomal RNA, 563 nt
Filed under: uncultured Methanobrevibacter sp.
Lineage: Archaea; Methanobacteriati; Methanobacteriota; Methanobacteria; Methanobacteriales; Methanobacteriaceae
Description: bacterial SSU rRNA
Rfam family: Archaeal small subunit ribosomal RNA
Source: RNAcentral
GCGCGAAACCUCCGCAAUGUGAGAAAUCGCGGCGGGGGGACCCCAAGUGCCAUUCUUAACGGGAUGGCUUUUCUUAAGUGUAAAAAGCUUUUGGAAUAAGAGCUGGGCAAGACCGGUGCCAGCCGCCGCGGUAACACCGGCAGCUCUAGUGGUAGCCAUUUUUAUUGGGCCCAAAGCGUUCGUAGCCGGUUUAAUAAGUCUCUGGUGAAAUCCCGUAGCUUAACUAUGGGAAUUGCUGGAGAUACUAUUAGACUUGAGGUCGGGAGAGGUUAGAGGUACUCCCAGGGUAGGGGUGAAAUCCUGUAAUCCUGGGAGGACCACCUGUGGCGAAGGCGUCUAACUGGAACGAACCUGACGGUGAGGGACGAAAGCUAGGGGCGCGAACCGGAUUAGAUACCCGGGUAGUCCUAGCCGUAAACGAUGCGGACUUGGUGUUAGGAUGGCUCUGAGCCGCCCUAGUGCCGAAGGGAAGCUGUUAAGUCCGCCGCCUGGGAAGUACGGUCGCAAGACUGAAACUUAAAGGAAUUGGCGGGGAGCACCACAACGCGUGGAGCCUGCGGUUU